RNAcentral lists this long non-coding RNA (2859 nucleotides) under Gallus gallus (chicken). Its description in RNAcentral is "long non-coding RNA NONGGAT002390". The record is from RNAcentral. Lineage: Eukaryota; Metazoa; Chordata; Aves; Galliformes; Phasianidae.
UUCAAACUUUAGUGCAAGGCAAGCAAAUGAUACCACAGGUCCAAGUUGGUGCUCAGCCCUGCCGUGGGGCCUGGCUCAGAAUGAGCACAGGGCAGCAGCACACACACAUGUACACACACAUACAUACACACACAAGACCGAUUAUUGCUAGGAACACAGCUGGGACACAUAUGCACAAGACAGGACAUGACACAGAGGACAGAGGCAGGAGAGCCAGGCUGAGCUCCCUGGGGACACAGAGGGCCCCCUUGGAGGCUCAGGCCCCUAUACCACUGCCCUGCCCUCAGGCACAGCUCUGCUGAAUCCUGUGGGCUGGCCUUGCUCCCACUUGGUCAUAGCCCUGGGCAAGGAACAGUCUCUCUGUCACAGUUUUGCACCUCAGGAGCACAGUCAUCAAAACCAAGCCAGGACUGGGGCCUGCCUGCAUCCCCAGCAAGCCAGCCAAGCUGGUGGAACUGUGCUGGGGCAAUCCUGCAGCACACAGGGUCAGGGCUAUCCCACAGGUCCAGCUUCCAGCCAGGUCCUGGGGGAGUGGUUGUGCUGCAGGCAGGCUGCCAGCAGGCUGAAGAGGCCAGGAUCAGUGCCCAGGAGCUGGCAGCAUGUGUGAGACAAGGCAGGAGAAAGCAGGCUCCGGCAGGCAGGGAAUCAGGGAUGAGGCAGUGAUGCUCUGCUGCCAGGAUGCAAAGGGAGAUGCUUUGGCAUAGCAUUCUCCUGUGCCUCAGGGCUGAGCAAUGGACUCCUCUGGAGCCAGGGACGCCUCAGCAGGGCCAGAAAGGUCCAGUGCCACUUCGACACCAUGGAAUGUGUCAACAGAGCUGCUCCAGCUUGACCUUGGCCCACGCCAGCACAAUCCCUCCCUCCUGCCCUUGGCCCCAGAGGGGAGUGGCAGCCGGUGGGCAGAAGCAGCAGCACCAUCCCCAGCAGCACUCAAAAGCAUCCAGUUCUGUCCUGGGGACGAUGGCUCACCCACAGCCAGAGGUGCCACGUGCUGCUGCCAGCGCUGGAGCCAUCCUCAGAGUCUUCAGAAAAAGACAUGUAAAGUUGUAAACAAAUCCACCUCGUGAGGCCACUGCUACCUUGUCCUUCAGGCUAGGCUGUUGUUGUUCUGGGCACCCGGAGAGGCAAGAGGGUCCCAGGGGCUGGAGAACAGGCUGUGCUCUACAGCCGGGUGGGCUCUUCCUCACUGUCGCUGCAGUUCCCACAACAGUCCUGAAGUCAGAGGGGCAACGAGAGGGAGGGAGAGAGGAGCACAGCAAGCAGAGGGUAAGCACAGUCACACAACCUGAUCUACAGCUGCCUUCUGGCAGAGAAAGAAAGCUGCACCUUGGGGCUCAGCUCCUAGCAGACAUACUUGUGAGUGCAUAGCUGACUGGCUCAGAAGCUGGGAGGAAGAUGGGCUCCAUAGACUACAGCCAACCAGGGAGACAGCUCAGUGCCAGCGCAUACAAUCUGCCCCUCUCGGGACUCAUCAGGUCACAGAAAGCAGCUGAAGCCCUGGGGAGGGAGCUUGAGCAUGGGACAAUGCCAAACUCUUCACAGUGUCUCAACUCUUCUGUGUAUCCAGGACAUCCAAAGAGAGGAGAGAAGGGAACCCUGGCCUUCUUGCAGCCCCCUGGGAGCAGAGCUCCCAACUGCAGCAGUAUAGGGGCAGCUUUGGCUCAAGCUGAGGGUAAAGCUUCCCCCACGGUGGGGAAGGCAGCAAGAGCAGGGAGCAGGAUUAGUGGCUCAAGGGGCAGUUAGAACAAACAGCUUGUGCUCUGCUGGGGGAAAGGGUUAGGCACUGAAGGACAACACUCCUCUUCCCCAGAUCUUGCCAUGUCCGUGGGCCACCAGGUAUUUCCCUGAGCAGAGCAGCCAGGAGAGACUGCUCACCUCUGGAAAGAGAAAAUGUGGCAAAUCACAGCUCAAUCCCUGCCCUAGGCAGCCCAUCCUUGGACAGGUCUUGCCUGCCUACAGAAGAGCUGUGUCUCCCAGCAAGCUGAACAGUUAAGCACAAAUGGGAACUUGAUGGGGAAGUCAGAGUCAGCAUUGGGUGACUGGGAGUGGGUCCAGAGCAGGCCAGAGCCAACUGUGCUCAAGUGCCACAGCUGCUAGCAGCUGUUGAGGCAGCAGCUCAGACUUUGCCAGUCCUGGAAAGAAGGCAAAUACUGUUCUGGCCCAGAGAAGACAUACAGGCAGGCAAGCCCACAGCAGAUGCAUGACGUUUCUGUUCUCCUCAUCCCUAGAAAGCAUUGCUCUCUCUGUCUGCUCAAGGCCUAGUAGAAAUGUUCCAGGGAUCCCAGGAGCGCAUAUAGACCACAGCAAGAUGAAGGUCUUCUUCAGGGAUGGUAUUAUUCAUGUAGGAAGGGAGAAGACUUGCUAUUUUAGUGCCGUCAGCAGCAUCGCUCUCUGUGCAACUGCAGCAUGUUUAGCCAGGACACUCCAUACCAGCCCCCUCAACAUGCAGCAAUGUGAAUGUCAGCCAGGCAAGGGUUGGUUCCUUGCAGCCUUGCAUGGGACCUCCCAAGAGCCCUGGGAUUCAGCCCAGCACGGGGGCUCAUAUCUGCUGCCACUAUAUAUAUGCCCACCUUCCUGACAGUUCUGCAUCGGUGAGAGAAGGCUCAAGGCCGUGCAAGAAAUACUGGGCAAGCACUCUUACCUGUCUGCUGAAGAAGCGCUGGAGUAACCCUUUCUUGGGCUGUGGUGAAGGCUGCCCUUUCCAGUCCAGGUCUGGGGGCACUGUGCCAUCUGUGCUAAACACAUUCAGCUCCUUGAAGCAGUCUGUCUCUAUCAUCUGGAAGAGGGCAAAAAUGGCUGCAGCAACUGCCACGCAAAGCCUGUCACCAAGGGCCCAGCAGAGCACAAGGGCAGCAGCGACAG